AGCUCCAAUAGCGUAUAUUAAAGUUGCUGCAGUUAAAAAGCUCGUAGUUGCAUUUCCGAGGCAAGGGAUUAGUCCGACCUUUGGUGGGUAUUUAAUCCUCUUGCCUCGUCCUUGAGUGGUGCUUCUUGGGAUUAAGUUAUCGAGGAGAUAGCCGCUCAUCGUUUACUGUGAGAAAAUUAGAGUGUUCAAAGCAGGCUUAUGCCGUUGAAUAUAUUAGCAUGGAAUAAUAAGAUAGGCCCUCGGUACUAUUUUGUUGGUUUGAGAACCAAGGUAAUGAUGAAUAGGGACAGUUGGGGGUAUUCGUAUUCAGUUGUCAGAGGUGAAAUUCUUAGAUUUACGGAAGACGAACUACUGCGAAAGCAUUUACCAAGGAUGUUUUCA
RNAcentral lists this ribosomal RNA (381 nucleotides) under uncultured marine Chaetocerotaceae. RNAcentral's name for it is "SSU rRNA". It matches the Rfam family "Eukaryotic small subunit ribosomal RNA", at positions 587 to 972 of the family's 1831-position model. The record is from RNAcentral. Lineage: Eukaryota; Bacillariophyta; Thalassiosirophyceae; Chaetocerotales; Chaetocerotaceae.